ACGAACGCUGGCGGCGUGCUUAACACAUGCAAGUCGAGCGGUGAAGCUCCAGCUUGCUGGAGUGGAUCAGUGGCGAACGGGUGAGUAACACGUGAGCAACCUGCCCCUGACUCUGGAAUAAGCGCUGGAAACGGCGUCUAAUACUGGAUACGAGAAGGGUCCGCAUGGGCACUUUCUGGAAAGUUUUUCGGUUGGGGAUGGGCUCGCGGCCUAUCAGCUUGUUGGUGAGGUAAUGGCUCACCAAGGCGACGACGGGUAGCCGGCCUGAGAGGGCGACCGGCCACACUGGGACUGAGACACGGCCCAGACUCCUACGGGAGGCAGCAGUGGGGAAUAUUGCACAAUGGGCGAAAGCCUGAUGCAGCGACGCCGCGUGAGGGAUGACGGCCUUCGGGUUGUAAACCUCUUUCAGCAGGGAAGAAGCGAAAGUGACGGUACCUGCAGAAGAAGCACCGGCUAACUACGUG
Molecule: ribosomal RNA, 467 nt
Filed under: uncultured bacterium
Lineage: Bacteria
Description: partial 16S ribosomal RNA
Rfam family: Bacterial small subunit ribosomal RNA
Source: RNAcentral